This 77-nucleotide transfer RNA is filed under the name Deltaproteobacteria bacterium. RNAcentral's name for it is "tRNA-Pro". It matches the Rfam family "tRNA". From Rfam's summary of the family: Transfer RNA (tRNA) molecules are approximately 80 nucleotides in length. Their secondary structure includes four short double-helical elements and three loops (D, anti-codon, and T loops). RNAcentral also lists the same sequence under 1 other name. The record is from RNAcentral. Lineage: Bacteria; Pseudomonadati; Myxococcota; Myxococcia.
CGGGGCGUAGCGCAGCCUGGAAGCGCACCUGCCUUGGGAGCAGGUGGUCGGCCGUUCAAAUCGGCUCGCCCCGACCA